RNAcentral lists this small RNA (476 nucleotides) under Pan troglodytes (chimpanzee). RNAcentral's name for it is "retained intron". Lineage: Eukaryota; Metazoa; Chordata; Mammalia; Primates; Hominidae. The record is from RNAcentral.
CCGCGGAGCGAUGCUGCUGCUGGCUGCCGCCUUCCUCGUGGCCUUCGUGCUGCUGCUGUACAUGGUGUCUCCGCUCAUCAGCCCCAAGCCCCUCGCCCUGCCCGGGGCGCAUGUGGUGGUUACAGGAGGUUCCAGUGGCAUCGGGAAGUGCAUUGCUAUCGAGUGCUAUAAACAAGGAGCUUUUAUAACUCUGGUUGCACGAAAUGAGGAUAAGCUGCUGCAGGCAAAGAAAGAAAUUGAAAUGCACUCUAUUAAUGACAAACAGGUAAAUCUCUGUCUUCAGAAUGCAUUUUCUGUAUAACUCAGCACAGCUGUAUAAAGGAAAAACAGAGUUACUUCACCUGUGAAUAGUUAAUUGAAAGCAUAUAUGUACUGUUUUUUAAAAGGUGGAAUUGUUUGAAUGGUCUAGUAACUCAGAAUAUCACACACACGCAAAAUGAAUAGACUCCCACACACAUUCAUAUCUACAAAUGGUC